UACAGAGGGUGCAAGCGUUAUCCGGAAUUAUUGGGCGUAAAGAGCUCGUAGGCGGUUUGUCGCGUCUGCCGUGAAAGUCCGGGGCUCAACUCCGGAUCUGCGGUGGGUACGGGCAGACUAGAGUGAUGUAGGGGAGACUGGAAUUCCUGGUGUAGCGGUGAAAUGCGCAGAUAUCAGGAGGAACACCGAUGGCGAAGGCAGGUCUCUGGGCAUUAACUGACGCUGAGGGGCGAAAGCAUGGGGAGCGAACAGG
RNAcentral lists this ribosomal RNA (253 nucleotides) under uncultured bacterium. Its description in RNAcentral is "partial 16S ribosomal RNA". It matches the Rfam family "Bacterial small subunit ribosomal RNA", at positions 524 to 776 of the family's 1533-position model. The record is from RNAcentral.